This 309-nucleotide ribosomal RNA is filed under the name uncultured bacterium. RNAcentral's name for it is "bacterial SSU rRNA". It matches the Rfam family "Bacterial small subunit ribosomal RNA", at positions 335 to 643 of the family's 1533-position model. The record is from RNAcentral.
ACUCCUACGGGAGGCAGCAGUGGGAAUAUUGCACAAUGGGCGAAAGCCUGAUGCAGCAAUGCCGCGUGUGUGAAGAAGGCCUGCGGGUUGUAAAGCACUUUUAUCGGGAAAGAAAAACCAGGCUAAUACCUGGUCUUGACGUACCCGUUGAAUAAGCACCGGCUAACUCCGUGCCAGCAGCCGCGGUAAUACGGAGGGUGCAAGCGUUAAUCGGAAUUACUGGGCGUAAAGCGAGUGUAGGCGGCGACGUAAGUCGGAUGUGAAAGCCCCGGGCUCAACCUGGGAAUGGCAUUCGAUACUGCGUGGCUG